UACAAUGCUUUGACUCUUCGUCUUAUUUAAAUUUUUUUUACGAUUAACAUUAUUAUUGUUAUUAGAUGAUAAAACAUGAAUAGUAAUUUAUAUGUGACUAAUUUUUUUAAGUUUUUAUAUAAUUUUUUUAAAUAAGACGAAUGGUCAAACGUUGGACAAAGAAAUUGA
RNAcentral lists this microRNA precursor (168 nucleotides) under Oryza brachyantha (malo sina). Its description in RNAcentral is "MIR812 microRNA precursor family". It matches the Rfam family "MIR812 microRNA precursor family", at positions 27 to 191 of the family's 205-position model. The record is from Rfam by way of RNAcentral. Lineage: Eukaryota; Viridiplantae; Streptophyta; Magnoliopsida; Poales; Poaceae.